CCCCUUAAGGUUCUUAGGAGGAUUAGGUUCCUAGAGCUGCGCUGGUCACACUGGCUGCUCUUGUGGGCUCAAAAUCCCGGAGCCCCAGACAGAGGUGCCUCCGAACGCUCCUGAGGAAAGAAUUACCCGAGCAUCUGGCCAGAAGAUGAGCAUCACCCUUGAUCGGGACUGGGUAUUCACCCCAAUGGACAUAAUCUCAUGCAGGUUCUUAGAACUAUCCAGUGAACAGAAGGAUGCAAUUCCUCCAAAGUCACAGAGGUGAGGAGGAGACAAAGGAGAAGGGAUUUGCUUCCAGAAGCCAAGCUGCCCCUGUGACUCCAAUUGUGCUCUACCCCCUCCACUCUCUUCUCAAGGGACCAUCCUCCACUCUGGACCUAUUCACCACUUACAGUCAAGCCUCAAUCAAGCAAGGCACAUCACUCCUACCAGGCACCUAACUCCUGGGUAGAGCACCUUCUGCAGACGAGAAGAGGCUGAGCCCACAACCUCCUUUCUGGCAUCUUUAUUUUUCUAUCUGGUACAUGAACAAAGUGAACGUGGUCAGAAAAGUCAGCUGCACUGAAACACUUGAGCCGAUGGUAAAACGGAGGGCGCGUGGACAUGGAAGGGCGGGGUGGCAAUUCCAGACCAGCUUCCCCCAGAGGGCUUGUGCGCCAAGCCCGCGACCAGAGGCUGCUCUGGGCAGGACCGUGCAGUGCAUCUCUGGUGAGGAGGGACAAGAAGGACCAGUCACAACAGGGACUGCAGCCGGGCAUGAGUUUAUUGGCUUCUGGCC
Mustela erminea (ermine) is the source of this 775-nucleotide long non-coding RNA. RefSeq lists it as uncharacterized. The transcript has 2 exons. The record is from RefSeq and is a predicted model, not a curated record. NCBI's taxonomy places the organism in Eukaryota, Metazoa, Chordata, Mammalia, Carnivora, Mustelidae.